RNAcentral lists this ribosomal RNA (253 nucleotides) under uncultured bacterium. RNAcentral describes it as "partial 16S ribosomal RNA". It matches the Rfam family "Bacterial small subunit ribosomal RNA", at positions 524 to 776 of the family's 1533-position model. The record is from RNAcentral.
UACAGAGGGUGCAAACGUUGUUCGGAAUUACUGGGCAUAAAGCGCACGUAGGCGGCGCGGAAAGUGCGAAGUGAAAUCCCACGGCUUACCCGUGGACGUGCUUUGCAUACUUCCGUGCUCGAGGACGGUAGAGGAGAGCGGAACUCUUGGAGGAGCGGUGAAAUGCGUAGAUAUCAAGAGGAACACCAAAGGCGAAGGCAGCUCUCUGGUCCGUUUCUGACGCUGAGGUGCGAAAGCCAGGGUAGCGAACGGG